GAUGAACGCUAGCUACAGGCUUAACACAUGCAAGUCGAGGGGAAACGACAUCGAAAGCUUGCUUUUGAUGGGCGUCGACCGGCGCACGGGUGAGUAACGCGUAUCCAACCUGCCCACCACUUGGGGAUAACCUUGCGAAAGUAAGACUAAUACCCAAUGAUAUCUCUAGAAGACAUCUGAAAGAGAUUAAAGAUUUAUCGGUGAUGGAUGGGGAUGCGUCUGAUUAGCUUGUUGGCGGGGUAACGGCCCACCAAGGCAACGAUCAGUAGGGGUUCUGAGAGGAAGGUCCCCCACAUUGGAACUGAGACACGGUCCAAACUCCUACGGGAGGCAGCAGUGAGGAAUAUUGGUCAAUGGACGAGAGUCUGAACCAGCCAAGUAGCGUGCAGGAUGACGGCCCUAUGGGUUGUAAACUGCUUUUAUAAGGGAAUAAAGUGAGUCUCGUGAGGCUUUUUGCAUGUACCUUAUGAAUAAGGACCGGCUAAUUCCGUGCCAGCCGCCGCGGUAA
RNAcentral lists this ribosomal RNA (508 nucleotides) under uncultured bacterium. RNAcentral's name for it is "partial 16S ribosomal RNA". It matches the Rfam family "Bacterial small subunit ribosomal RNA", at positions 28 to 523 of the family's 1533-position model. The record is from RNAcentral.